CUAUAGCAUAAUGAACAUCCGUAUCCAUCAUGAUGCGUCAAUUACAUACAGUUUCAUAUUUUAUCUUCCACCAGAAAGUAUAUGAAUAACUGUGGAAAAUUCUGGAUGGUACAAUCUGUCACUCAAAUAUAUGACCGACUUCUGCAUAUAUAGACAUAUUAAACACUAACCUUUGGCAGAGAACUCAAAUGAGCAUUGCUAAGAUGAAGGUGAGACUCUACAGAUCAGCUUGGGAGAUAACUUCCAUCAAGUAGACCACAGGUAAAAUCAUUGUCUGCAAACUCUAUUUUGUCUGCCUUCACAACAG
This 307-nucleotide long non-coding RNA is filed under the name Zea mays. RNAcentral describes it as "long non-coding RNA (ZMAY_LNC005870)". Lineage: Eukaryota; Viridiplantae; Streptophyta; Magnoliopsida; Poales; Poaceae. The record is from RNAcentral.